UUGCCCUUAGUAACGGCGAAGUGAAGCGGCAACAGCUCAAAUUUGAAAUCUGGCUUCGGCCCGAGUUGUAAUUUGCAGAGGAAGCUUUAGGCGCGGCACCUUCUGAGUCCCCUGGAACGGGGCGCCAUAGAGGGUGAGAGCCCCGUAUAGUUGGAUGCCUAGCCUGUGUAAAGCUCCUUCGACGAGUCGAGUAGUUUGGGAAUGCUGCUCAAAAUGGGAGGUAAAUUUCUUCUAAAGCUAAAUACCGGCCAGAGACCGAUAGCGCACAAGUAGAGUGAUCGAAAGAUGAAAAGCACUUUGAAAAGAGGGUUAAAUAGCACGUGAAAUUGUUGAAAGGGAAGCGCUUGUGACCAGACUUGCGCCGGGCAGAUCAUCCGGUGUUCUCACCGGUGCACUCUGCCCGGCUCAGGCCAGCAUCGGUUCUCGCGGGGGGAUAAAGGCCCUGGGAACGUAGCUCCUUCCCGGGAGUGUUUAUAGCCCGGGGCGUAAUGCCCUCGCGGGGACCGAGGUUCGCGCAUCUGCAAGGAUGCUGGCGUAAUGGUCAUCAGCGACCCGUCUUGAAACACGGACCAAGGAGUCAAGGUUUUGCGCGAGUGUUUGGGUGUAAAACCCGCACGCGUAAUGAAAGUGAACGUAGGUGAGAGCUUCGGCGCAUCAUCGACCGAUCCUGAUGUUUUCGGAUGGAUUUGAGUAGGAGCGUUAAGCCUUGGACCCGAAAGAUGGUGAACUAUGCUUGGAUAGGGUGAAGCCAGAGGAAACUCUGGUGGAGGCUCGCAGCGGUUCUGACGUGCAAAUCGAUCGUCAAAUCUGAGCAU
Molecule: ribosomal RNA, 815 nt
Filed under: Chaetomium angustispirale
Lineage: Eukaryota; Fungi; Ascomycota; Sordariomycetes; Sordariales; Chaetomiaceae
Description: eukaryotic LSU rRNA
Rfam family: Eukaryotic large subunit ribosomal RNA
Source: RNAcentral